CCCGACUCGAUUGUGCCCCCGGGCCCGGGAGGGGCCGUAGACCCAAGGGUGAGAGUGGAUGAGGCCCCCGCCUCGGCUAACCACCGAGGCGGCAUGGAGCUCCCCGCCCGCCCCUUCGCCGCCGGGUGGCCCGUUUCCAAUGCCAACACUCCGCGUACACGUCCACUGUUGCUUCCCCGGGGGGGGGAUAACCACCCUCGGGGGAGGUCCCCGAGCAUACCUCGCGGCCCAACCCACCGGAGUCCCCUCCGUCUGAUGGCCAGCGCGCCAAGGUAGAAGGAAAGCUAGAAAAACAAAACUUUCAACAACGGAUCUCUUGGUUCCCGCAUCGAUGAAGAACGCAGCGAAAUGCGAUAAGUAAUGUGAAUUGCAGAAUUCAGUGAAUCAUCGAAUCUUUGAACGCACAUUGCGCCCCCUGGCAUUCCGGGGGGCAUGCCUGUUCGAGCGUCUCUGGGACGAACCCCUCGCGCCAGUGAAAGCGCGGUCUUGGCGACGGUGGCCAUUGCGGGUAGGACGCGGCCACCGCGCUGGAAUCCAUGGGCGGACGCCUGCCGCGUUGCCGAGCGUGAUAUGACUCAUGUGCGCCCGUGCGCGGCGAGGCUGCCGGCCCUUGCCCGUCCGUCGGGCGGGUGAUAGCAGGACAUCGGAACUCCUCGAAUCAG
Molecule: ribosomal RNA, 662 nt
Filed under: Helvella aff. elastica UC 1999287
Lineage: Eukaryota; Fungi; Ascomycota; Pezizomycetes; Pezizales; Helvellaceae
Description: eukaryotic LSU rRNA
Rfam family: 5.8S ribosomal RNA (bases 297-450)
Source: RNAcentral